Molecule: ribosomal RNA, 822 nt
Filed under: uncultured Actinomycetes bacterium
Lineage: Bacteria; Bacillati; Actinomycetota; Actinomycetes
Description: bacterial SSU rRNA
Rfam family: Bacterial small subunit ribosomal RNA
Source: RNAcentral
ACGAUGAAGUUCCUUCGGGAAUGGAUUAGUGGCGAACGGGUGAGGAACACGUGAGAAACCUGCCUUUCAUUCUGGGAUAACACCGGGAAACCGGUGCUAAUACCGGAUACUCCAUCUUGGCGGCAUCGCCGAGCUGGGAAAAAAUUUUGAUGAAAGAUGGUCUCGCGGCCUAUCAGCUAGUUGGUGAGGUAAAGGCUCACCAAGGCGACGACGGGUAGCCGGCCUGAGAGGGCGACCGGCCACACUGGGACUGAGACACGGCCCAGACUCCUACGGGAGGCAGCAGUAGGGAAUAUUGGGCAAUGGGCGAAAGCCUGACCCAGCGACGCCGCGUGAGGGAUGAAGGUCUUCGGAUUGUAAACCUCUUUCAGUAGGGAAGAAGCGAAAGUGACGGUACCUAAAGAAGAAGCACCGGCUAACUAUGUGCCAGCAGCCGCGGUAAUACAUAGGGUGCAAGCGUUGUCCGGAAUUAUUGGGCGUAAAGAGCUCGUAGGUCGUUUGUCGCGUCGAUUGUGAAAAUCUGAGGCUCAACCUCAGACCUGCAGUCGAUACGGGCAAACUAGAGUGUGGUAGGGGAGACUGGAAUUCCUGGUGUAGCGGUGGAAUGCGCAGAUAUCAGGAGGAACACCAAUGGCGAAGGCAGGUCUCUGGGCCAUAACUGACACUGAGGAGCGAAAGUGCGGGGAGCGAACAGGAUUAGAUACCCUGGUAGUCCGCACCGUAAACGGUGGGCACUAGUUGUGGGAACCUUCCACGGUUUCCGCGACGCAGCAAACGCAUUAAGUGCCCCGCCUGGGGAGUACGAUCGCAAGAUUAAAACUC